AGAGUUUGAUCAUGGCUCAGGACGAACGCUGGCGGCGUGCCUAAUACAUGCAAGUCAAGCGGAUUUAUCCUUUGGGGUAAGCUAGCGGCGGACGGGUGAGUAACACGUAGGUAACCUGCCUAUAAGAUCGGGAUAACUAUCGGAAACGAUAGCUAAGACCGGAUAAUUGGUUUUCUCGCAUGAGAGAACUAUGAAACACGGAGUAAUCUGUGGCUUAUAGAUGGGCCUGCGGCGCAUUAGCUAGUUGGUAGGGUAACGGCCUACCAAGGCGACGAUGCGUAGCCGACCUGAGAGGGUGAACGGCCACACUGGGACUGAGACACGGCCCAGACUCCUACGGGAGGCAGCAGUAGGGAAUCUUCCGCAAUGGACGCAAGUCUGACGGAGCAACGCCGCGUGAGUGAUGAAGGUUUUCGGAUCGUAAAGCUCUGUUGCCCUAGACGAACAGCAAAAGGAGUAACUGCCUUUUGUGUGGCGGUAUAGGAGAAGAAAGCCCCGGCUAACUACGUGCCAGCAGCCGCGGUAAUACGUAGGGGGCAAGCGUUGUCCGGAAUUAUUGGGCGUAAAGCGCGCGCAGGCGGUCAAUUAAGUUGGGUGUUUAAGCCCAGGGCUCAACCCCGGUUCGCAUCCAAAACUGGUUGACUUGAGUGUAGGAGAGGAAAGUGGAAUUCCACGUGUAGCGGUGAAAUGCGUAGAGAUGUGGAGGAACACCAGUGGCGAAGGCGACUUUCUGGCCUAUAACUGACGCUGAGGCGCGAAAGCGUGGGGAGCAAACAGGAUUAGAUACCCUAGUAGUCC
This 798-nucleotide ribosomal RNA is filed under the name uncultured bacterium. RNAcentral describes it as "bacterial SSU rRNA". It matches the Rfam family "Bacterial small subunit ribosomal RNA", at positions 8 to 796 of the family's 1533-position model. The record is from RNAcentral.